RNAcentral lists this ribosomal RNA (297 nucleotides) under Phanerotoma sp. 2 NM-2007. Its description in RNAcentral is "partial 16S ribosomal RNA". The record is from RNAcentral. Lineage: Eukaryota; Metazoa; Arthropoda; Insecta; Hymenoptera; Braconidae.
UUAAAUAGCUGCAGUAUUUAUAACUGUACAAAGGUAGCAUAAUAAUUAGUUUAUUAAUUAUAAACUAGAAUGAAAGAUUUAAUGUAAUAAAUACUAUUUCAAUUUAAAAAAAUAAAUUUUUUUUUUAAGAAAAAAAACUUAAAUUUUAUUAAAAGACGAGAAGACCCUAUAGAAUUUUAUAUUUAAUUGGGGAGAUUAUAAAAUUUAAUAAACUUUUAUAUAAAUUUACAAUAAUUAUUGAAUAAAUAAUAUUUUAUAAAAAAAUUAAAUUAAAUUACCUUAGGGAUAACAGCAUAA